RNAcentral lists this ribosomal RNA (460 nucleotides) under uncultured bacterium. RNAcentral describes it as "partial 16S ribosomal RNA". It matches the Rfam family "Bacterial small subunit ribosomal RNA", at positions 338 to 795 of the family's 1533-position model. The record is from RNAcentral.
CCUACGGGUGGCAGCAGUGAGGAAUAUUGGUCAAUGGACGAGAGUCUGAACCAGCCAAGUAGCGUGAAGGAUGACUGCCCUAUGGGUUGUAAACUUCUUUUAUAAAGGAAUAAAACGAGGCACGUGUGCCUUUUUGCAUGUACUUUAUGAAUAAGGAUCGGCUAACUCCGUGCCAGCAGCCGCGGUAAUACGGAGGAUCCGAGCGUUAUCCGGAUUUAUUGGGUUUAAAGGGAGCGUAGGUGGGUUGUUAAGUCAGUUGUGAAAGUUUGCGGCUCAACCGUAAAAUUGCAAUUGAUACUGGCAGUCGUGAGUACAGUUGAGGUAGGCGGAAUUCGUGGUGUAGCGGUGAAAUGCUUAGAUAUCACGAAGAACCCCGAUUGCGAAGGCAGCUUACUAAACUGUGACUGACAUUGAUGCUCGAAAGUGUGGGUAUCAAACAGGAUUAGAUACCCUUGUAGUC